AAGGCUUGACAUGUAAGGUAGCAAUACUAAACUAGGGAAACCUAGUUGAAUUACACAGGUGCUGCAUGGCCGUCGUCAGUUCGUGCCGUGAGGUGUAUGGUUAAGUCCUACAACGAACGUAACCCUUGGGCUUAGUUGCCAGCAUUCAGUUGGGGACUCUAAGCCGACUGCAGAUAUGCCUAGCAUAUCUAUUACUGAGUAUCGAGGAGGAAGGAAGAUGACGUCGUAGGGUUCCGUCUAACG
RNAcentral lists this ribosomal RNA (243 nucleotides) under uncultured bacterium. Its description in RNAcentral is "partial 16S ribosomal RNA". It matches the Rfam family "Bacterial small subunit ribosomal RNA", at positions 978 to 1206 of the family's 1533-position model. The record is from RNAcentral.